CGGUGCCGUAAGCGAUGCAAUCACGAGAACCAUAAAAUACUUCUAAGUGAAUGAUAACAGAAACAAAUUAUGUGGAUAAUAAAAUAUAUAACAAGCGAUUCAGGCCAAGAACGCUCAUUUGCAAAUAUUCCCUAAAAAUGUGGAGCAUGAGAAAUCGACUCAAAAAUCAAAUAUCUUUAGCGAGAAGAAAACCAGAAAUCAGAAGGUUAAUGGAAGAUGUGAGUUUAGCUGUAUGUGUAGAUGGUUUUGUAACUUUCGGAAGGGUGAUGAAGGAAGCUUUUGAUCUUUCUCUAGAAACAUUAGUAAUGUUUCAUUUCAUUUUGAAUACUUGAAUACAUGCUCAUUCUUCUGGUUUUCACGUUAGGAUAUUCUUCAAAUGCAAUAUUUUAGAAAUGUUUCCGACUAUUCAAAAUAAAAAUAAAAUUUACA
Molecule: non-coding RNA, 429 nt
Organism: Styela clava
Lineage: Eukaryota; Metazoa; Chordata; Ascidiacea; Stolidobranchia; Styelidae
Source: RefSeq, a predicted model, not a curated record